RNAcentral lists this ribosomal RNA (465 nucleotides) under uncultured bacterium. RNAcentral's name for it is "partial 16S ribosomal RNA". It matches the Rfam family "Bacterial small subunit ribosomal RNA", at positions 338 to 795 of the family's 1533-position model. The record is from RNAcentral.
CCUACGGGUGGCAGCAGUGGGGAAUAUUGCGCAAUGGGCGAAAGCCUGACGCAGCGACGCCGCGUGAGGGAUGAAGGUCUUCGGAUCGUAAACCUCUGUCAGCAGGGAAGAACGGUCACUGUGCUAAUCAGCAGUGAAUUGACGGUACCUGAAGAAGAAGCCCCGGCUAACUACGUGCCAGCAGCCGCGGUAAUACGUAGGGGGCAAGCGUUAUCCGGAGUUACUGGGUGUAAAGGGGGCGCAGACGGCGAUGCAAGCCAGGAGUGAAAGCCCGGGGCCCAACCCCGGGACUGCUCUUGGAACUGCGUGGCUGGAGUGCAGGAGGGGCAGGCGGAAUUCCUGGUGUAGCGGUGAAAUGCGUAGAUAUCAGGAGGAACACCGGUGGCGAAGGCGGCCUGCUGGACUGCAACUGACGUUGAGGCCCGAAAGCGUGGGGAGCAAACAGGAUUAGAUACCCUAGUAGUC